GAUGAACGCUGGCGGCGUGCUUAACACAUGCAAGUCGAACGAUGAAGCCCAGCUUGCUGGGUGGAUUAGUGGCGAACGGGUGAGUAACACGUGAGUAACCUGCCCUUAACUCUGGGAUAAGCCUGGGAAACUGGGUCUAAUACCGGAUAGGAGCGUCCACCGCAUGGUGGGUGUUGGAAAGAUUUAUCGGUUUUGGAUGGACUCGCGGCCUAUCAGCUUGUUGGUGAGGUAAUGGCUCACCAAGGCGACGACGGGUAGCCGGCCUGAGAGGGUGACCGGCCACACUGGGACUGAGACACGGCCCAGACUCCUACGGGAGGCAGCAGUGGGGAAUAUUGCACAAUGGGCGCAAGCCUGAUGCAGCGACGCUGCGUGAGGGAUGACGGCCUUCGGGUUGUAAACCUCUUUCAGUAGGGAAGAAGCGAAAGUGACGGUACCUGCAGAAGAAGCACCGGCUAACUACGUG
Molecule: ribosomal RNA, 466 nt
Filed under: uncultured bacterium
Lineage: Bacteria
Description: partial 16S ribosomal RNA
Rfam family: Bacterial small subunit ribosomal RNA
Source: RNAcentral